UUCCGGAGUGAAGUUGGUCAGUGAUCUGUGCUGGAGCAGGACCACUCGGUUUCGCGUCCGUCAUCCUCCUCUUCUCUUCCUGUGUUAUACGCGACCUCCGUCUGUCCUUCUUUCUCUCUGUUCUUUUCAUUUCGCCUCCUUUCGUCUCGAUAUCAUUACGUCGCGCGAUUCGUCGAGAUUCGGGAAUAUUCCGAUUCCCGGUUUCUUCUCGCGAGAUAUACGACAAUAUAUAUAUAUAGAGAAAGAGAGAGAGAGUGCCACAGUGUGGAGUUGUUAUCAGUGAGGAAAACGUAAAUAUUAUCUUUGACAAACGGCGUCUACCAACAUCGACAACCACCGACGUCGACACCGGAUAGAGUUCAGUAUCACAAAGCGCUGAACAAAUUUUAAACAAGUCACGGAAAAAGGGAAGCAGCGAACGACGACAUCAUUGAAUCGAGCCACCGGUGCCAAAAGUCAACAAAUGGAGCAUAGAGGCGCGCCUUGCGGGCAGCAGGAGCAGCAGUAGCGUCCGUCGCUAUAUCGUCGGAGGGAGACCUGAUCCGAUCUCGCGCCCGUGGAGGACGCGGGAUCGCGCGGGUGCUGCCGAGGCCGUCGACCGCGAUGGCCGCGACCGACGGUCAGAUCAUCGUCGCGGCGGCACGCUGGGCCGAGGAGGCGACGUAUCUGCGCGAGUUCGUCUCCAAGUAUCGCCUGCCAGCCGUGAUCAAGAUCACCAAGGGCCAGUACGGCGGACUGGGCGUGCCGACGCUACCGGCCCCGAGUUUGCAGAGCACGGCGUUGUUGAUCUCGGCCGGUCGUCGCCGUAAAAUCGUGGCGCAGGCGGUGAAGAUCAAGGAGGGCCGCCGGGUGGUUGGCGUCGGGCCGAGACUCGCGAUCCCGGACUCGUACGCGGGUUACUUCGAGAUCCUGAGCGAGGAAGGUCGCGCGGUACGCGGCAUCGAGUCGGUGAACGAGCUGUCACGCAGAUGUCCGGACGAAGGCGCCCUGGUGCGAGAGACGGUGCGCGCCAUCGCCUGUCGGGUGGACGACGAUUCUGGGAUCGUUGUUCCGGAAGGUACGAGGACCCUGGCAGCCGGAGAGACGAUCGUCACCGCCGGGGAGGUCGCGUUACCCGGUCGCGGUCGAUUUCUCCGCUGCGUGGACUGUCGCGGGGAUAGCGUGCUCCUAGGGAUGGAUCAACGCGGUCGCUUCAGCGCCCUGGCGCGCGAGGACAACAUCAGUGGGGUGCACACCGCGAAGGCGCUUCUCAGCAAGCGUCUGCCGCUCACCGUGAGACUGGUACACGGCCAGCCGCCGCGGGGGCUUAAAUCGUCGUCGCAGUUCGUGCCCGAGUUGAGGCUGCUGUCGACCUUCGAGGAGGAGCACGUGUUCGCGCUCCCGUUGCAAAGAGAAGGCGCGGCCGUCGCGCUACCGCUCGCGGCGCCGCUCAAGCUGGUGAAGGCUCGGAACGAGGAGGCUCUGAGAUCGAUGCAGGAGUUCACGAGGCUGGUGGAACGCGCCUCCCGUUUGGUCGCCGACGUGGCCGAUCGAGCGCACGUGCUGGACGGUCGUCUCGGCGAGGGCAAGUCCUCGAGGCAGAGAAGCGGCUCGGGUUUUCUCAGGAGACCGUCGACCAACUCGGAUCACGCGCCGUUGGCUCAUCAUAGAAACAGCAGCAGCGCCGGCCAUCAUCAUCACCAUCAUCACUAUCACAGCAGCAACGGCCAUCAGGUGUCUUCCGGUCACUCGGGUUAUCGGGACGAGAACAGGAUACCGCAGUCAUCGUCCGCCUGCACGGAGGAGUACGACGAGAUCGAUCAGAUAUAUGAUUACGUUCGCGGUUUCGCGCCGUUGCCGAAGAGCGUUAGGUCGCCGUACGAGAGUCCGCUUGUUCCCGGAGGAGGUCAAGGUGGCUCGACCCCGCCCUUGACGCCGGUCACGGUGACGAUCGCGCCCUUGCUCGACGAUCGACCGGAACCGCCGCCGAUCGAGACGAUACCGACCAAGAAGAUCCAGGCGGAGAAGCGGACGAGGCGCGCGGUCAAGGAGGCGCCGCAGCCGCGGCUGGAGAAGCCGCCUCUGGCGAAGCUCUACGUGAAGAACAGCGGCACUCAGCGCGGACGUCCGUUAAUGAGGCAGAAGAGCGCGUCGCCGUUGAAGGAAACGCCGCCGGGUUACAAGGGCGGUUCGCCGCUCUUCAAUAUACGAUACAAGAGCCUGACGAAUCUUCAGCAGGCCAUGGAACUCGACGGCACCCUGGACUCGAGUCACUCGGGCGGAAGGACGUCGGGAGAUUCCGGCGCGGGCGCCAAGUUGCCGGAGAAAAGAUCGAGACGUUUAAGCAGACCGCGAUCGUUGACGAAUUUAGUCUGGGAGCUACGAGGUGGAAGUGGUCUUGGUUGCACGAGACCGGAAACUCCGCCGCCUGUCACGACUGCACCGCUGCCACCGACUAAAUGUGGGCCACGUCUAGCUGUCACUGUCGUAGCACCGCGACGUGUCGGCACGCUCUACCUCUAACUCAUUCGAUCGACGAAGGGCUGAAGAAGGCAAAGAGCCGCAGAAAUUUCCGACGUCGUUUGAUUAAUCAAAAUUUGCAAGAAGAAUUCAAGGAGGAAGAAAGAAAGAAGAACGGGGAGUAUUUCGCCAUUCUUUCAGCGUUAAUUAAAUCGCAGUCGCGAAAGCCAUUCAAACUCGUCGUCCGACACUCAUAUACACACAUAUUCACAUGCUCUAUUCAUUCACACACUUAACAUACACGUACACGACACAUAUGGACCCAAAAGCCUGAUUAACACCGCGUACUUCCUGUGAUCGUCGAUUAAUGAUAAGCGGAAUAAUCAAAAAUAGCGACGCAGCGAAAAGAGGAUAUGUUCAGGUCACGUACGAACAGAAACGUGAAUUUACUGUAAUGCUCUUGUAAGAAAAAAGACGAUGCCGUAUUUCAAAGAGUAUCGAGAUCGAUAGAUGCGACGAGGCGAAGUGGAAGCCAAUAUUUUAUACGAUCCCAAAUAAUCGAUCUGCUGUGUUAGAGAAGCCAUCGAUGAAUAUCACCUGUGCGAUCGUAUGGAUGAAAAGAAAUAAACUUAUAUUGAAAAUCAGGUGCGAGACCGCCUUUCGGUUGAUGGUCCCGAUCAAAGGACACGUUUGGACCUUGGUCUCAUUUUUUUGUGAUUAUUAUUUAAAUAUAUGUUAAGCAGACAAUAGAAUAAGUUAGCCUUGUUAUGUAAUUGAAUAUGAGAAUGGCAUCUGGUUGCACAUCUAGGUGGUCUUAUCCAGAUGUUAUCAUUUUUUUGCAAUAUCCGGAAUAAGCGCAAUAAUUACGAAAAUUAUCUAAAAGAGAGGAAUUAUAAUUAUCCUCCUAUUUACAUACACUAUAUUGAAUUAUUUAUCCAAAAAAAUCUAUGGAUAUUCUUCAAUUAUCAAUAGGAAUAAAACUGUUGGGAAAAGACAGUCGAAAACAAGUGGCCUUCCUUAAAGACAAAAUGACGAGCUAAAUGAGAAUGUUCAAUAAUCAGGAUGCAUUCGCGUUACAAUGAACUAGCUGUAUUACGAAUGUAUAAUAAGCUUUUAGAUUUAUAAUACACAAAGUAUAGAUUCUAUAUUAUCAUGAAUAUUAUAUCGCGUAAUGAAUUUUUGUAUAGAAGGCACUCGGUCCCCUUUACGACAGAACUCUGUGUGUUAUAAGCGUGUGGAUACGCUUAUUUCGUAUGUUGAUGUUCUCGGAGAGUGUAAUUUUGCCAUGACGACGAGCGCAGAAAUGAAGAACUUUCAGCGCAGAGCUUGUAAAAGGCGAUCUUACGCAUUUGCGCGUCAAACUAGAAUUAGUUUUCUAAUUCUUUGGGGCAUUGGAUGUCAAUGGAUCUUUGUAUGAGCUAUCGUCUAUGGAAUAACGCGAACUCCGAUCGUGUUUUAGUCGCUCUUUCGUUGCGCGAAAUGCAGAAGACGCGACUAAAACGAAUGGAUUUCACGGGUUAAUUGCACGAUCAGCUCAUCGAUAUCACUUCAACAUCGUCGGCCACGUUCUCGCGGCGAAAUACUCGGCGCGUAAGGGUCGAGGAUCGUUGUGCCUUCGUGUAUGCACGUUAAAGUACGUUUUAUGAUUGUAAGAAGAGCAGACAUCCACACUUUGUGAUUCCAUAAACAGUUGUUCAUUUUUUUUAUACUUUCUUUAAUGCUUACCUAGGAUAGCUUGUAUACCUUAAAGAGUGUUUCAAUAAAAAUCACAAUGAAAUAA
This is an RNA transcript of Nylanderia fulva, 4219 nucleotides long. It is a transcript of the gene named CABIT domain-containing protein serrano, with no coding region annotated. The record is from RefSeq and is a predicted model, not a curated record. NCBI's taxonomy places the organism in Eukaryota, Metazoa, Arthropoda, Insecta, Hymenoptera, Formicidae.